This 24425-nucleotide long non-coding RNA is filed under the name Octopus vulgaris (common octopus). The record is from RNAcentral. Lineage: Eukaryota; Metazoa; Mollusca; Cephalopoda; Octopoda; Octopodidae.
CUGGUAGUGCCCCAGUUUGGCCGCAGCCCAAUGACUGAAGCGAAUAACAAGAUGUUGCUUUCUGUAGCGUGGAAAUAAAUAAACGUUAAAUUUUGGGAUCAAGGACGAAAAAUCCAGGAUCAUGUUAAAAGAAGACGAAACGAAAUGUGUUGGACCAAGAUGAUUAAUGCAGCGGUGAGUGACUCAAAGUGCUAUAGAUCAGAUUUGCAUCGAACGGAACUUAUUUUCAACCAAAAGGUAAAGUGUAACUAGAGCAAAUCACUUGAAAAUAAGGUAUUGGAAUUUUUUUUUAUAAAACCAGCCUAAUUACCGAUGAUGUUAAUAUACAAGGUGUUCAACUUAUUAUAUACAUGUAUAUCUCCCUCAUGUAUUUAUAUAUAUCGAGAUUAAAGUAUAGUCACUAUCUUCAGUAGGAUAUACUCGCGUAGACUAACCCAAGGUUUUAACGUCGAUAUGUAGAGCAUUUGGAAAGGAAUGAACGCCUCAAAAUCAUCAGAAGUUUUCCGUUAACUAGCAUUUUAACAGCAUGGAUUGAAAACCAUCUGUGGGUGAAUGCAUAUACCUAAAAUGAACAAAUAACGUAAUCUAGAAUUUUUUUUUAUUGCUAAUUAAGGUUAUUAUAAAAAAUACACAACUGCUUUCAAAAUAUUUUGAUGCAAUAAUGGAGCAAUAAGAAGAUUAAUUUAGCUGGCUGUUCAUUUAGUUCAUCAUAUAAAUUUGUUCGCUGACAUCAUUUCCAUUUUUUUUUUCUUUCAGCUUAAAAUGCAUUGAUAAAGCAUUCUCCCUCCUGUUAAAUCAAGGGACUUCACGGACACAACAGAUACUGUGAGUUUGAUAUAUUUAUUUAAUAUUUUGUUACAAAUAUCCAUAUAUUUUAUAUUACAUAUUAGCUGAUGCUUUAAGUGUGAAGCAAGUCUAGAGGCUGAGGUCUAUUUUACACAAUAAACAUACACCCAAAUCGACUUUGUUCUAUAACAGGGUGCGUGUACGUGUGUAAUUAUUCAGAUGGCGGGACAAUUGUUAAAACGCCGGCCUGUGUAACUUUAAACUGACUUUAUCAGAAUCCUUGGUCGACGCACACAUCCUUCAUUUUUAUUUACGGCUAACGAAAAUGGAUGCACCGUUUAAUAAUAUCUGGAAGUAAGUAGUAUAAUGCGAUACGAGUGGGAGGGUGAAAAAGAUGACAACUGAAACGUCUACCUUAGGUUAGAGAUGUCAAUGAACGGAGAGAGGGGGAUGCGGUGAAGCUAUCCACUCGGUCGCUUCCGGCUGUGAAGGCGCACCGCGCACUUCCUUACAUAGGUAUGACAUUUCUGAAAAUAUAAAUAGUAUGCUGUGGCAUUCAUCCUUUCCCUUAAGGUGUUCGAGAUGGAAGCAAUUCAAACAGAAAAUCAAAACAAGGGCUUGUACUUAACAAACACACACGCAUUCCUUCUCACUAAGGUUUUAUUAUAUAUAUAUAUAUAUAUAUAUAUACACACACACACAGAUUUGUUACAGAUGUAUUAAGGGGUCUCUUUCUCCCCACCACUCAUACAUCACGCAGAUUUCUGACAAAGGUAUUAGUGUAUAUUUCUCUUACUCUCACACACACAUUAACUUUGGUUUUAGACUGCGGGAAUUGAAAACUAUGCCAGCGAACAAAAUAAUUAUAUGUACCAGAGCAGACCAAGAAACCUAAUGUAACUUCGUAUUACUAAUUAUUAAUUAGAUCUAAGAAGAAACUACCGUUCAAAACAUUCUUGCAACAAGUCAGAUACCCUGUCCAUAUAGAGUGGAUAAAUUAAAACUUAACAGGUUUUAAUUUUUAGCAGAAAAUAGGAAUUUAGCUUGUCAUUCCAUUAAAAAAUGGAAUGAAGAAAAAAAACAAACUAUUUCUAAUUAAAAUAAAUACACAUCCCGGUGUUCAAAGUAUAUCAUAUAUUUAUAAAUUUAUCUCUCUGGUGGUAUAUCUUAGCUUCUGUGUUCACCCACACACUUUUUUUUUUAACCAUAGGUGACUAUAAGUGGUUGCUUAUUGUUAAACGUAGUCGGCAAAUGAGACAAAUAAAAUGAGUGCCAAAUCAGACAUUUCCGAUCUGCACUGUUAAAACAUCUUUUCAGUGGUUGUUUUUCUUUUUUAACAAAAAAAAAAGACAACAAUCUCCCUAAUCUGCAAACGUAUAGCUCAUGCCAUCCAUACAGUACCCACCCCAUCUAUCAUGAUCUACAUCUCUUUCUAUAUAGCUGCUCUGUUGUCCCACUUGAAAGUCAAUGGGCACUUUAUUUUCUUUUUUUUUUUUUAAUUUACUUUUAUUUAUUUAUUCUCUUAUUCUCAGCUUUCUUAUCGAGCCUUCCGAUACCCCCCCCCCCCUAUAUAUCUAUUUAUCUGCCUGUCUUUAUAUCUUUUCUUUCCUUCCUUUCUCUUAGGUCUCUGUCAGAUAUUGUUGACGGACACCUAUUCAUUACACACCGGUCCGCUAUAUAAUGUGUAUGUGAUAUAUAUAUAUAUAUAUAUAUAUAUAUAUAUAUACACACACACACACACACAGACGCAGUGUGCUACGAACACUAUAUAUAUAUAUAAAUAUAUAAUAUGUGUGUAUGUGUAUAUAUAUAUAUAUAUAUAUAUAUGUGUAUAUAUAUAUAUAUAUAUAUGCUAUCUUGGAGAAAGUAAAAAUUAUCUUCACACUGGUACUUUGGAUGUUCGGUCUUAUCUAUCUAUCUAUUAUACACGUACACACAUACAUGUGUGCGCACGCUAAUUUUGCUUUUUUAUAAUGUAAAGAUUGAUAGUAACUUCGAAGUUUUGGGUACAUAGCCGUCAUUAGAUUAAAUAUGGUAGUCUUCUAAAACGUAUUCACUGAUCCUUCAAUUUAAUAUUCGAUUGUUAUAUAUAUAAUAUAUAUGUAUAUAACUUUACAAAAUCAUUACGUUCUUGUAUAUAAUAAUAUUCAUAACAGUGUGUUCGGCCAUUUUUCUUUUCUUCUUUCCUUAACUUUUAGAUAGGAAAAUAAAAUACGAAUAAAAUUAAUUUAAAAAACAAACAAACAAAAGAACGAGCUGAAGUAGAAAAAAAAAUCUUGUGCCAACAGGACACUAACCUAAUUCGACUUUUAAGAAAGAAUAUAGACACAUGCAACAUUGUAGACAACAAAGAAAGAAGAACGAAAAUCAUUCAUAUCAAUUUUGUUCUAAUACUAGAAGUCUUUUUGCAGCAACUGUGUUUUUUUAAUUAAUUUUUUUUUCUAUUUAUUUUGCAGCACCAGAUAAGCCAAAUCCGUAACGUAGGGUUUCGAUUCCCAGCUGCUGAAGUCAUUUAUUUUCACUUCAAUCAAGAAGCUUAAUAAUUUUACCCUUGGCCAAUCACUGCACGAAUGUCAUACAGUUCUCUCACUACACAACUACUAAACUUCUGUAAUUAAUGAAGUUGUGGCUUUUGUAUUUAAAUAAAUCAUAAUGAUAAUUGUUUUAUUUUUUGUCUUUUAAGCACCCACAGAGAGAGAGAUGACUUGAUUUCGAUUUCCGAUCGAACCAUUUCCGAUCGCUUACGUGUCUCAUGGCCUUGGGACAUGAAUAAACACCUUCAAUAAAACCUUUAUUGUGCCUCGGUAAGAAUUAUUAUUAUUAAUUUCUUCCGGCCUUUAUGUUCAGAGUUCAAAUCCCAAUGAGGUCAACUUCGCCUUUCACCCUUUCGGAGUCGGUAAAAGUCUUGGGGCUGGUGUAAGCAACUACCCCUCCCCCUCAAAAUGUCAGGCCUUGUGCCUAUGUAAUAAGAAGGCAUUAUUACUCAGAAUCAUUAGAGUGUGUCAGAAAAUAUACUUUGCAACAUUUUGUUCCGGUUCUUUAGAUUCUGAGUUCAAGUCUCGCCGAGGUUAACUUUGCCUUUCAACCCCUCAAAAUAAAAUAAGUACCAAUCAAAUACUGGAGAUUGAUGUUUAUCAACUAAACACACCUCUACUAUAAACAUCAUUGGCCUUGUACUCCAACUCGGAAACUAUUAUAUUUCGAUUGAGGGCCGUUCAGUGUCUAUGAAACAGAACAAGACAAUAUCUAUUUUAUUUAUUUAUUACAUCUACCCACCCGUCUCUUAUGGGUUAUUAUACACGACACUCCAAAAGACAACCCACACUACUAACAAAACCCGUGUCUGUUAGUCUGCUUUCUUGUUAAUCGAAUGGGAAGGGAGUUCAGCAAAUUAGUAACUUUUUUUUUCCGGCUUGAAAUGGCGAUCUUUUAAAACACUGUUGAAGAGUUUUGGUUCAACAAGGUUGUUUGUUGAUGGGACACUGACAGCGAACCGAAGUUGAUAUGCCCCCAACCCCCAUUCAAAGGAGCCAGUUAUGGGGAGAGAGAAGGAACGGGAGUAACAAAGCGCACACACAACACAUAGGGCGUUUUUUUGUUUGUUACUUUUUUUACUUCCUUAAAAUAUAGGACAAUCUAUAUAAUGCUGUAUAUACAGUUAUUUUUUUUUUUAUUUUACUUUCCUUGAGCAUGAAGUUCUAUAAAUAAACAAACAAAAUAAAAUAAACAGUUAAAAAGGAAGAAAAGAAAGAUCAAAGCAGUUUGCCGCAUGCUUUGAUCUUAUGAUUGACUGCGAGUUUUAACUAAGCUAGCUCAGACCACCGUCUAGCUGCAGCACUCGACAGGCAUUCAGCUAAAUUAAAUUACAGCCGAGUAAUAAUAAAAGCAGUGUUGUGCUUUAGUCUCCACAAUGGUCUUUUAAUGUGGGCGCGCAUACACAUUAAUAAACAUACACUCACACACACACAAUUAUAUUAUAUAUAUAUAUAUAUACACACACACAAAGAAAUAUCUGUAUAGCUUUACACAUACAUUAGUCAUAUACACUUUUAAAACCAGGCAUUAAAUAUCUGGAGUGUGUGUAUAUAUAUAUAUUUUCAUUCCUAGCCACAUAGUUAAGUUUACCCUGUCAGUAUGUAUGUGUGUGUGUGUGUGUGUAUGUAUAUAUAUAUAUAUAUAUAUAUUAAAUAUACACACAUUUCAGACAGGGUAAACUUAACUAUGCCGGUAGAAAUGAUAGGGCUUUAGUAACAGGCUGAUUUCAUAGUACAAGAGUAUCAGAGUACAGCCUGCCAAAGAUCUUGUUUUAUACCAUUGGUUUUUAUUUUAGUUUAUCAACACUUUUUGGAAAAUGUAAAUAAACUUGUAAGGCUUUCACAUAAGAAAACUACUAUGUAUUGGCCGACAAUUUUAAUUAAGAACUAAUCUUGUGUGUCUGAGAGAAUGUGCACUCAUAUACACACACAUAAGGAUCUUGCUUGUUACGACUAGAAGUAUCUCGUUUAGUUUAAGAUCCUUGUCAAUUUAUAAAGAUAUAUUUCCUCUACUCACCAAAAUAAUAAUAAUGAUAAUAAAAAGCCUCUCUUUUGUGCCUUUGCACCAUGUGAGAAUUAGCUGCAGUACAAGAAUGACCUAGCUGUGAAUUAGACAUUACAAAAACCAAGGCAAAAAAAAAAAAAAAGGUUCAAAGAACCAGUUCUUAAUUUGUUCUAGCAACGCUCAUUUCCAACUUGAAUAUGAUGUCGCACAUUUUGAAAGCAAGCAAGAAAGCAGUUGAAUGAAUCAACUUCCAAUACUUGUGUCACUUCAGCUGGAAUGAAAGUCAACGCUGAGCCCAUAAUCCCAUAAUUUGAACUGAGACUGUAAGUAAAUGCUACAAAGCACUUAAUCUGGCAUCUUAGAAUUUCUGCCAGUCAAUCAGUUUAAAUGAAUGCUCCACAUGGCUUCUAGAUCUAAGCUCAUUAACAUGGCCCAAACAACAGUGCCAUGAUUUUUACAUAACAAAAACUAACUUGAAAACGCUAUGGUUAACAUUUAAUUACUGCAUUCUAUCGAGACUAGUUUUUAGUACGACAAUAUAUAUAUGUGUGUAUAGUCGUAUGUAUGUCACUGGAUUCAUUAAGCUGUUAGAUGUAUAUACACUGCUGGUCACAAUGUGCUUUUCCACAUUGUUGUAACUUUCAAAUGAUGCCACCCUACUGGGUAGGCAAGCAGGCCAACAUACCCUCUGAAUGGAACCCCAAUUUAUCAUAGGGUUGUUUAUAGCUGAGAGGGCUGGAGCAAUAGGAAAUUAUUUUUUCAAGAACACAACACACUACUGGUCUGGGAACUGCACAACCUUACGUGAAUGCAAAUUUCUUAACCACUAGGCCAUGUGCCUACACACGCACAAAUGCACCAUAAUAUAUAUGCAUGUGUGUAUUUAUUAAGGUACAACUAAACCUUUCUUUGCGAUGUCCCAGACAGCUUACCUUUGGAGAUCUAAUAACUCUUUUGAAAACAGAAUAAUUUCCAUUUGUCUUUGAUCUUCCACCAAAUGCCGGCUUUUAUUCAAUAGAAACUUAGUGACAAAGCUGAAACCCUAAUUGCUUAUGAAAUUAACUCAAGUACAAGGUUAUAUCCAGCUGGCUGGUUGGUUGAUAUGCUUCAUGGCACACAUUCGCAAUAUCUUAUUCAUACAUGAGCGGCAGAGGGGUAGGAUGGGACUGUUUUACCCAACGAAGCUUAAGUAUAGGAAAUGAUGUCAUACAGUGAAUUAAUGCUAUUGCCAGGAACACGGCAUGUGUGAAUUCAAAGACUCAAGAUUUGCAAACAGUAAUAAUAAUGUUUCCAAUUUUGACACAAGACCAGCAAUUUUAGGUUAUCUUAGUUCAUUAUAGUACUUGACUAGUACUUUAUUUUAUCAAUCCCCACUAGGGUGAAAGACAAACCUGGCCUCUGUUAUUUGAACUCGGAAUGUUAAGAGCCGUAAAAAAUUCCACAAAGUAUCUUGUCUGACAUGCUAAUAAUUCUACCUGAUGGCUGCCUUUAUUAUUGCAAUGAGUUCUGAUUAACUACAAGGGCAGCAAUUUUGUGGUGGUAGGAGUUAGUUGAUCACAUCAGGCCCUAGUAUAUAACUGCUUACUUCAAUGUUAUCAACCCACCCCAUGGAAAUAAAAGCUGACCUCAGCAAGAUUUGAAAUCAGAGUGUAAGGACUUGGAACAAAUACGAGAUGUUCUUUUCUGACGCACUGAUUUUUGCCAGCAAUAAUAAUAAUAAUAAUAAAUUUGGUACAAGUCUAAGCAUUUUAGGAGAAGGACACAGUUGACUGAAAUGACCCUAGAACCAAAUUGUUUGUUUCAUUUAUCAACCUGCAGAAGCAUUGUUACUUUAACAGGAUUUGAAUUCCGAAUAUGCAAGCAUUUAAUUAGACAUUUGCAAAGCAUUUUGUCUAAUGCUCUAUUGGUUCUGUGAAACCCUGUUCAAAAAAUUAUUUCGAACAUUGACAUAACUACAGCAGUUUUGAGGAGAAGAGGUCAGUUGAUUACAUCACUUCCAAUACUUGACUAAUACUUUAUUUUAUUGACUCCUGGAGAGAUGAAAGACGAUGUUGACUCUGACGGGAUUUGAAAUCAAAAUGGAAAGAGUCUAAAAGAAAUACUGCAAGACGCUUUUUUUUUUUUUUUAUAAUUUUACUGAUCUACCACCAGAACAAACAAUUCUACCAAUUCCACAAUCCUAAAUAAUAGUAAUAAGGGUUUCAAAUUUUAAAUAUUUUUUUCAUUGACCCAGAAAGGAUGAAAGGCAAAGUCAACCUCAGCAGAAUUUUAACUCAGAACAUAAAGACCGACGAAAUGCUGCUAAGCAGCAUUUUGCCCAGUGUGCUAACGAUUCUGACAGCUCAUUGCCUUAAUAAUAAUGAUUUCUAACAUGGACCUAUAUAUACAUAUACUUGACUAAACACACACACUCAACAGCAGAACGAUCCCUGCAAUCUAAGAUACUUGUUUUAGUACAGCUUUUAUAGCUGAAUAUCAUUCCUAAUGCCAACUACUCUACAGAGUGUACCUGGUGUUUUUUUUUUUCUCUGUAACACUCGCACUAAUGAGGUUACCAAGUAACUCGUAAGACAAGACAAGAAAAUUCCUUUCGCUAAGUAGGGUUGCUUUGUUUUAUGUAUCUCCGCUGUAGCAAAACAUACCUGUCUGUCCGUCAUGCUUUAGCCUCUCAACAUCUGGCAUAAAGCCACCACCCUCUCUGCUACAACCCUACUUAGUCAAAGGAUUUUUCUUGUCUUACGAGUUACUUGAUAACCUCACUAGUGCCGGUGUCACAAAAAAAAAUACACCAAAUAUACACUCUGUAGAGUAGUUGGCAUUAGCCAUACUAAAACUGUGAGACUCAAUACAAUACUUUGCAACCUAUGCUAGCAUGGAGGAUUAACGCUAAAUGAUAAUGAAAUAUUGUUCCUCUAACAGUAUGCAUUGCCAGUUUAAUGCCAUUGUUGAUUAAUAAUUUAAACCAAAGUUUUUUUAAUUUACCAAUGCUUUUGAAUAUAGUGUUAGGAAUUGUUUCAUAAUCAAGUAUUCUUUUUACACAUUCAGAAACUGCUGACCUAUUUUAUUUGAAUCAACCCAAAUGAAGUAGUUGUCUUAUGACCCAAUAAACAGCUGUCAUUCAUAGCUUUGGUAACAAAUCAUCAUUGUUUUAAUGUUUCCAAGUAAUAUUUCUCCAGGAUCAAAUAUGUUCAACAAGACGGGAAACCAAGGACAUCACUUGUAUGAUGGUGACACCUCAAUACUAUCACAUGAUGUCAAGACAAUACAAUAACACAUAUACACACACAUUUAUAUAUAUACACACACGCACACACACAAAUGAUGAGCUUCUUUCAGUUUCUAUCUACCAAAUUCACUCACAAGGUUUUGGUCAACAAGAGGUUACAGUAGAAGACAUUUGUCCAAGGUGCCACGCAGCAGGGUUGAACCCAGAACCAUGAGGUAAGGAAGCAAACAUCAUACCAUGGAGCCAAUUUCACACGUCCUUAGCGACAUAAAUAUCUCAAUUGUGCAUGAUUUUAUUUAUUUAUAUAUAUAUAAUGUCUCGAGGUUUAAUCAUGUGACUUUAUAGGAUAAGAAUGUCAAUUUAUCAAUUAAACUACAUAGUCUAAGAUCAAUAAUGAAAGACGUGACUAUUCAAUCAACUUGUUGUUAUUGAUCACCACCCUUCCACUGAAAUACAAAUUCAUUGUCGCUUAUUGACAGUGGUAUUUUCUUUUCAUGUAACUUUUCAUAAUUGCUCUUCACAUUGCUAAGGACACACGUGUAACAACAAUUGAGGGGAAAAAACAAAACAGAAAACCUUGAGCUUUUCUUCAUUUGCAUACACGUAUGAAAUAGCUAAAAAAAAAAAUUUGUAGUCGAAUCCUCCCCUUCACCUUAUACAUGAAUAGUAAAUGUUCCUCUUUGCUGCACACAUCAGAUCAAAAGAUAUAUGAGAUUUGAAACGAUAUGCAUAACAGAACUUCCUUUUUAUAAUAAUCAUUAAUUCAAGUUUGCUUAAUUAAAUUGAUAUUAUCUUUGGCAUAAGUAAUAGAUAUGCUUUUUUUUCUUUUUAUUCUUUUUUUUUUCCAUGCAUCAUGCUCACUAUUCAACUAGAUCAUGUGUCUGUACUAUUUCUGUCAAAUUUUUUUAGCUUUGAUGUUGGGUAACUGCUACAGAUUUAUUCUCACACUGUGGCUUGUCUUCUCAAUGAAUAGAUCCACAAAUAAUACACAAUCACACAAACAGUGUCAUACUUAACAAAACCUCAUCUCGUUAGAUUCAGUUUUAGUCGAAUAAUAUAGUUAAGCAAGGACUAUUUAUCUGUCUUCACAUCAAAAAGACCAAAACACGAUCCUCUUGUAUGUCAACUUGUUCCAUGUGCAGAAGUGGGACAUGAGUAAGUCCCUUGCACACGGUUAAGUUCAUUUCUCAUUAUUUAGUUUAUGAUGUAAUUUCAGAUCUUCCCACUCUUAAAUAAAAUAGUCACCCACUUUACUUCUCCUUCAAAAUGUAUUUCUCUGUAGCUGAUGACUGUGAUGUAGAACAUUAAGGUAGGAUAUAGUUGAUCCUCCUAAUCAUACCAUGUCUGAUGGCACACAAGAUGUACAGAUAAAUUGGAUGACUUCCUUAGGUCACAACCAUGGGAUUCCACCUAGAAAGCUUCCUUCCAAGGCACAAGUCCAGGCAAGGUUGUUUGUGGAAGACUAGCAGUCACCCAUGCAUACCAGCCUUCCCUCUCCACACCAUCAAUGUUUUCCAAAGGAAAGACUGGCUGAUACAGUUUGGCACCCGAGAUGUUGCAACACAUUUUUACAGCUGAGUGAACUGGAGCAACACACAGUCCAGUCUGGGAAUUGAAUUCUCUACCUCAUGAUUGUAUGCCUGAUGCUCUAACCACUGAGCCAUGUACCUUUACAUAGACAUAUUAGACACACUUCAAUUUCAGCAGUGCAUAUUCAGAAAAAAAUACCUUAGAACAUUAAAGCAAUCCAGCUGAACAUUACAAAAGUACCUUAACUAUAACAGAAAACAAUACAGCUGAAGAGACUGUCUGGAUUAAAAUUAGCGUAUACUAGUGAGUUUCAAGGACUAAAUUAACUUAUAGAAAGCUCAACUUCACAAAUAGUCUUUGGGGUGUUCUUGAGAGAAUUCUUAUAGGAAAGUGCAUCUUAUAUCAUCAUCAUCAUCGUCGUUUAACGUCCACUUUCCAUGCUGGCAUGGGUUGGACGAUUUGACUGAGGACUGGCGAACCAGAUGGCUGCACCAGGCUCUAAUCUUAUAUGCCAUCAAAUAAUGGUACAUACAGUCAUGUGAUCAUUCAAAGUCUAAUAAUGUGCCUCCAAAGUAUUGGUUUAAAACAAAAAUAUAUAGUUGCAAGAAGUUGUUUACAUCUGCAACACAAACUUUGUAGGAAAAAAAAAAAACGAAGCUUUUCUUCAUCCAACAUGUUAAAAAGCACUGAUUGUCGGUUUGUAUUACAUGAUAAUGUAAGCAUAGUAGACAUGUAAAUUGUGUGAAAUACAUGCAACACCAUAAAGAAAGUUAUAUAGGGUUUACACAAAACCUCGUCAUUUGUACAGGAAUCACUGUAUUAGACUUUGGAUAAGCACAUUAACAGUAUGUAUAAAAUAUGGAUGAUGAACAAUAUUCUCUGCUCAGCACUGCUUUAGGAGUUAUGUGAUAGCACAAACUUGGAAAAAUGAGUUUAAUACUCAAGGAAUUUAUUUUGAGGUAGCUGCAAUAGAUAAACAUCAGAAAGGGGCUAAUUCUAUUUAUGGGAGCGGGGAUUUUUGUGAAAUCUAUUAUACAUUGAGGACAAAUUAACUUAAGCAAGUACAAAGGACUGACUGACUUAAUAUUCUCCAUUUCAUCUCUCAAAAAAAAGAAAAAAACUAUUAUAUCAAUAUAGGAUAAAAAUACAAAAUUUCAAAUGAUGAAAACAGCAUACUACUACUACUCCCCCUCAUCAUCAUCAUCAUCACAAUGUCCACUUUUUCAUGCUUGCAUGAGCCAGGCAGACUGUUUAUAGUUGAAUGCCUUUCCUAUCACUAACCCUCACCUUUUCCUAGUCAGGUUAAUUCUUCCCUAUAGCUGGACUUGAAACAAACACCACUUCAUACACACACCUACACUGUCUACCAUAUUUAGCUUGGGGCUAUAGUAGAAGACAUAUGCCCAGGGUGCAGUGAGAGUGGGUAGAAAGUGAAUUUAUUAUUCACACAGCCAUACCAACUGUUUGGGAAAAAAUUUGAAUGUGUUUGUAAAGUCAGAGGCUUGAAUGAAUAAUUGGAAGUAUUUUCUUUCAAGAUCCUCUGCAAUCACCUUUUGAUGUGUGUUCUAACAUUUUCAAUAUUUAGAAACAGUACCUGUUCAACACACUUUCUCUGCUACACCUACAGGCAUCCACAAUCAUGGACCUCCAUACCAAAGUCUGAAGAUGUGAUGUUUCUUGAUAAAGAUACAGCAAGUUUUCUGUUGUCUUCUAACUGGUUUAUUCAUAAUUUACUCUGCUAAUCUCCUACUCUUCUGAGCUUUUCCCUUGUGGCAUAGGGCCUAUUUAACUAGAGUAGUAGGGAAAGUAGGGGGGGGGGGUAAUAUAAAAGCACGUUUACACUCCCGUGGGCCCAAAUGAUACCUAUUUCAAGGCCAACCCUCUGAGUCCUGUGUGCUUUGGUCACAAGACCAUCUGACAUAUAACUGGGACCCUUGACAGAUACUAUCACCCUAAGCCAGAGUGAACCUGAGAGCUGCAGUGACUAAGGGGUAUAUUCACACACUGUAGACUUCCUGAACUCCCACGCUGGUGGCUCACCACUGGAUGCAAGAUAUACGCUACAAUAUAUACUCAAGAUAUAUACUACAAUCUCUCUGCUGGUGUUGUGUUUAAACAUCUAACAAAUAGUUUCUUACAUAUUGCCGCUAACAUCUCUGAAGUUGUCAGUUCGUAUUGACUUUCAUAAAAUGAUUUUGAUGUCUUGAUAAAGCUUAACAGGUUGAUUAAACAAUAUAUAAGUUUACUGAAUAUUUUCUGAAAUGAUCAAAGUCUCAAUAACUCGAAACUCCAUGCAACGUUUAUAGGUAUUUAUUUAUUUAUUAUUUGUGCAUUACAUUUCCAUACAUAUGCAUGUGUGUGUACAGAUAUAUAUAUAUAUAUACACACACAUGCAUACAACUCGGGGAGGAAGGUUUAAUACCUUUCUCUUUGAAGUUAUUAUUAUUAAAAAGGCAGUGAGCUGGCAGAAUUGUUCACACAUCAAACAAAAUGCUAGCAGCAUUUCAUCUGCCGCUUUACAUACUGUGCUUGAGUCCUACUGGGGUCAACAUUACCUGUCUUCCUUUCUGGGUCAUUAAACUAAGGUGCCAGCAGCACCGUCUGCAGUGGCUUGGUCAUGUACAUCGCAUGCCAGAUGGGAGGAUCCCAAAAGACCCCUGGUAUGGGGAAUUGGCCACCUGCACAAGAGCACAAAGAUGACCUCCUUUUUGUUUCAAGGACGUUUGCAAGAGAGAUAUGAAGUUGCUUGAUCUAGGUGUUCUGAGUUGGGAGGAAGUUGCAAAUGAUUGCUCAUGGUGGAGACAAAUACUGCAAAAGAGGAUGAAGCAAUGGGAAGAGAAACAGAAACUUGCCACCAAAGAAAAGUGUACUCAAUGAAAGGAAAAGCUAGUAGCACCGGUACAGAACUACUUCAAAUGCAGUCGCUGUAUGCACGACUGCCACUCCAGAGUGGGCCUUUACAGCCACAGCAGGCGCUACACCACCAUCAGCAGCUGACACAAUUUCUCUGGGUGGAGAUCCAUGGUCUCUCAAGACUGAUGGAUGCCUACUACUAAAAUAAGGUAGCUGUCCAGUACUGCAUCUGCUGUAAUUGAAUUGCCAUCUCCCUUCAAAAUUGCUAACCUUCUGACAAAAUUUGAAAUAAUAAUUAUUUUUAUUAUUAAAAAGGCAAACUGGCAGAAUUAUUACUAAACUAGACAAAAUACUUAGUGGUAUGUCUUCUGGCUUAUUUUACAUUCUGAUUUCAAAUUCCACCUUUGCAUACUUUCUGCAUCAAUAAAUAAAUACCAAUUGAGCCCACGCCAAUAUAAUCAACUUAUCCCUACCCCUAAAAUUGCUUGCAUUGUGCCAAAAUUUGAUGCCAUUAUUAUUAUUAUUAUUAUUAAGCUAGCGUAGCUUUUCUAACUGCUGUUAAUGUCAAUGUCCAGCAAUUAAUGAAAAUUUAUUCAAUAUUGCAGUCUCCUUUUAAAUUCGUGCCAAAGCAACAUGAUUCUAAUUCUUGUAAUAAACUAAACAAAGAGUCCACAGAUUUAAAUCACAUAACCAAUUCCUCAUUUAUGAUUCACAUAUUUCUUCGUUAAAUUUAUUGAAUCAUCUGAGUUUUGUUUUUCUUUUUAAUUUUUAUACCUAUGUAUAACAUUUAAUGUUGUAUAUACUGAAUUACUAGAAAGCAUAGUUAUUUAGUAGCAAUUUAGCAAUAAACGAUAGUAUCUUAGUAAAACAACCAGUAACUGAGAAGCACCCUUAAAAAGGUGGGGAGGGGCAUGUCUGAGUGAUCUUUGAAAAUUACAUGGUUAAUGUGUUGGUAGCUCUUCAUGUGUGAAACCAUAAAAAGAAUGAGGUCUUUAGAAAAUAUUUAUAUGCCAAGUUAAUCAAACCACUUUUUUGUACUAAGAAUAAACUUCAAAGAGUUUUUUCUUUUUUUUAAAAAAAAACAACUGAAGUUUUCCGACACAGCAAAUCUAUUUAAUGAAAGAAGGGUAUUAUCUGGUUAAAAAAUUUUUUUUUUAAUUUUAAAUUUCCUCUUUUUUUUUUUUACUCUUGGCAGGUUUUAUAUAUAGAUGAAUGAUUAUUUUUUUGCGUGCAUCAGCAUGGCCGCAGCUCUGAGCCGAAACUACAGAAAAAAAAAACAUAUAUAUAUAUAUAUAUAUAUAUAUAUAUAUGUCCUGUUUGAAGAUAAAAAAAAGCAUAGUAAAAUGGAAUGUCUACUGCACUAUGGCAGGUUUUAUAUAAAUGGAAAUUUUAGUUUUGCAUAACUUAAGAAGUGAUAUAUAUAUACAUAUAUAUAUAUAUAUAUAUAUAUAUGAAGAUAAAAAAAAAUAAAUACUUUAUAAAUUUAUUUCAUCAUCAUCACUUAAUGUCCUUAUUCCUAUGCUGCCAUACAUUAGACAGUUUAAUAGGAUCCGAUGGGUCCAUGAACUGAAAUACACAGGAGCUCAGCACAGUUAUCUGGCCUGUCAUGUCCUGUCGAACUGUCCAACAUGGGCAUUAAAUGAUGAUGAUGACGAUCACUUUUACUUGCUCCAGUCAUUUGACUGCAGCCUUGAAGAGUUUUGGUCAAACACACCAAACCCAGUUUUUGUUUGUUUGUUUAUUUGUAAAUUUCGUACUUAUUAUAUUAGUCUCUUUUAGCAAACUGUUAAGGUAUUAGGAUGUAAGCAAGCCAACACCAGUUUCAAGUGGUGAAAUGGGCAAACACACACAUAGUUAAGAUGUAUAUACACUACAGGCUUCCACACAUUUUCCGUCUACCAAAUUCACUCACAAUGUAUUAGAAAGGCUAAGGUUGUAGUAGAAGACACUUGUCCAUGACGAUGGUUAAAUAAGUAAAAAAAAUAAUAAAUAAAUAAAGCACAGAACUAACCAAUAUUUCUACUGCACUAUGUGCACUAAACAUAAAUUAUGAGUCAAGAUGUAAUGUACCACUGCUUACUUUAAAAACGAAAACAACAAAACUGUAAAUCUAACUGGCUUGGUGCAACAACAUUAUUAUAACAACUAACUACAGACUAAAGCAGCUAUAGUAGAAAAAAGAAAAUAAUAAUGAUGAUAAUAAUAAUAAUAAUAAUAAAAGCAAAAUAAAAAUCGACGAAUGUGUCUAGUUUAAGUACGGUACAUAAUAGAUUUUUCACUUCAUUGUUUCAUUGAUCUGAGGGCAUUGAUUUGAUGAUGCCGCCUGCUUUUCAUGUUAAACACAAGUGAGAUGAUAUUUCCAAUGACUAACACAUGAAAUCAGUACAUCUGUUGCUUAGAACCAAACAGAGGGAGAGGGGAGAAAAAAAAAAGAAAAUAUAUGUGUAUAAAAAGUAAAUAAAUAAAUAAAUUCAAAUCCUUGCCUCUUUUCAAAAUUGCUUAACUAUUAUAACUACAUCUAUCACUUGCUGCUUACAAAUAUUGCUUAACUAUACUUAAUAUCCUCUUGAAUUUUAUUGGUUAUAUUGCAAAUGACUCACAAUGAACAAAAACAAUAACAAAAAACAAAAUGAUAAAAAAUCAAUCAGGAAAAAUAUAUUUUAAGUUCAAUCAAUAUAACAGAGAAUUAUUUUCAUCAUCAAAGAGAAAUUUCAUAUAAAAGGUUUAUUUUCUGAUUAAAAAGAAAAAAAAAACAAGGAAAGAAAUAAUUCAACUAUAUAGGGGAAAUCCGAAAGAGAAAAAAAUUCUUGAAUCUCAGUGAGUUAUUUACCCAAAGGCAGAAGAAAUUUCCUGCCUGCUGGCAGUCUCCCAAUAUUUGGAAUACCACCAUUUUCACCAGCCCUACUUAGUCAAGGGGAUUUUUUUUCCUUCUCCUGUUCUUUCAUCUCGCAAGUUACUUGGUAACUUCACUAGUGCUGGUGGUAUGAAAAAACUACACCCAAUACACAGUGUAAAGUGGUUGACAUUCAGUAGAGCAUCCAGCCAUAGAAGCCAUGCCAAAGCUGACUGACAUUCGAUCCUGACACAGCCCUGCAGUUUGCCAGUUCCAAUCAAACCAUCUAACCCAUGCCAGCAUGGAAAAAACUGACGUUAAUUAAUGAUCGUGAUCAUAUCAGUCAGCCUUUACACCAACAUCAUUGAUUUAAUAUUGACCAUUCAAGCAUAGAAAAAUCAAACAAUAUUUGAGGAGGUAGGUUUUAUACAUCUGAAUGCUCUUCCCUGCGCAAAUCUUUGUUUCUAAACAAGAUAAAUAUUUCCUUUAGACCUUUGAACGAACAAACAGCACAACAAUCAGAUAUGGUUUCAUAGAAAACUGCAAAUAAGAGACUGAUUGCAUGACGGUGACAUUUCUUUACAACGAACAUACAAUGUCAAGAAGACAGACACAAACUCAUUCACAUGCACACGUACAUACAUUUAUAUAUAUAACAUACAUAUUUGAUGGGCUUCUUUCAAAUUUCAUCUACCAAACCCACUCACAAAGCUUUGGUCGUGGCUAGGGGUAGGCAAUAGGGAAAACAUUAGCCUAAAGUGCCAUGCAUUGGGACUGAAACCCAAACCAAAUAGCUGUGAAAUGAACUUCAUAACCCUACAGCUAUGCUUACACCUAUCCAUGCCAGCUUAAUACCAAAUACAGAAAAAGUUGUAGACCAAGUUAAAUAAAUACAUGGCUGUAAAAGUCUAACCUCAACUAUGAUACUUAAAGUCUGAUUAUUCAACAGAAGCUAAUAUUAUGUUCAUCUUAUAUAUGAAGGCUCUUCUUAGGGCAACUGAUUUUGAUAGUUGAAUAAGCAGGCCGACUUUAUUUUUUCUCGUUUGUUUUAAUGCCUGUUUUUUCCAUGCUAGUAAAGGUUAAGCUAAGAACUUUUUCAAGCAGGAUUUUACAGCUGGAUUCUCUUUUUGUUGCCAACCCUUACUUGUUAUUCAAGUAACGUGUUAUUAUUUUGUUCCACCCAGGUCUUCAAAAGCACAGAGUUAUUGGUCAUAAUGUCAAAAAAGAAUAUUAACAUCUUGUCACUGUUUCACUCAGUUAGUGACAACAGUGGAAUAUAAAAACACACGGAUAUACAUAUGUAUGUGUGGUAAGAUGUCCCAAUUACAAGGUUUUGAGUUCAACUCCAUUGUAUGGCACCUUAGCCAAUUGUCUUCUGCAAGUGAAUUUAGUAGACAGAAACUGAAAGAAGCCUGUCCUGUAUUUAUAUAUAUAUGUAUAUAUGUGUAUGUUCUUGCUUUCAGUUGUGAGUGUCACUUAACAUCUGGUCAUGGGGAAAUAUCUUACUUGGAAACAGAUGAGGGUUGGCAAUAGGAAGUGCAUCCAGCUGUAGAAAAUCCACCCUUAAUAAAACUUUUCUCCAAUCCAUGCAAGCAGGGAAAAGAUGAACACUAAAUGAUGAUGUGUUACAUGCUACCCGCUAAGGUAAUUAUUACUCAGUUUAAUAAAUCUAGUUAAUGGUACUGCACUGAUUUAUCUUUUGUCUAACGCAGAAAAUGGAACAUUAGUUGCCUUUGGCAGAGUCUCUGGCUUGAAGAUACCUACCUCCCUCCCUCCAUCCUAUCAGUAUUGGAAGCCUUGUAAAGAGUCAUGAGUACCCUUUUCCCUGCUGAUUAUUAGAUUAAAAAUAAGCAAAAAACUUUUUCAUGUGGUGGUUGUUGCUUAGCCCCACCUUCAUCAGACUUAUGAUCAAAGACAUUCCAGUCAUGACCAUCCAGUUUUUUCAGGCAUGGCUUAUAUCAGACUACAUAUAAAUUUAUCAACUGCUAUUUCCAGUAAACAUUGAUGCCUUGUUGUACCACUACUCCCUCUCUCUCUAUCUCUGUAUGUAUAUAUAUAUGCAUAUAUGGGUACAGGACGUCACCAACUGUGUAUACCUUCAGUAUUCGAGUACUAUUUUUUUCCCACUCUGUUUUGCAUUUAUGUGCUUACAUGUGUAUGUAUGUGGCCUGUAUGGUAAGUAGCUCGCUCAGCAACCACAUGGUUCAGGGUUCAGUCCCACUGCAUGGCACCUUGGGCAAGUGUCUUCUACUAUAGCCUCAGGCUGACCAAAGCCUUGUGAGUGGAUUUGGUAGACGGAAACUGAAAGAAGCCCAUCGUGUAUAUAUAUGUGUGUGUGUAUGUUUGUCUACUCCAACAACUGAUGCUGAUGUGUUUACAUCCCCAUAACGAAGCAGUUUGGCAAAAGGGACCUGCAAAGAAUAAGUCUUAGGGUUGAUUUACUCGACUAAAGGCAGUAUUCCAGCAUGGCCACAGUCAAGUGACUGAAACAAAAGAAAAAAGUAUAUAUAUAUAUAUAUAUAUAUGCCUUUGUCCCCUCUUUUAUUUUGUUUAUUUUAUUAGAAAACUAGAAAUGAUUUGAGAAGAGACAUACCCACUCUUUCUGACUGAGCGACCAACAUAUACUUUCCCCAUUGGCUUCAAAUCAGUCUUGUUAAUUUCAUAGGAACUUGUUGACCCUAAAAGUUACCGUUAGUGCAGAAUAAUUAGGAUAUACAACAAUGUAGCAGCAAUGAGGGAGGCAUCCAGUUUGACUUUCUAGUUUGUCUGGGCUCUCUGUGCUGCCCUGUCAUUAAAUAUUUCACAAAGAUUUCAUGUUCGACAUAGGUGCAAUGGCUUUUCUAAAUUUUUAUAAAUAUCUUUCUUUUAUCUCUUUUGACUUGUUUCAGUCAUUAGACUGCAGCCAUGCUGGGGCACCCACCUUGAGUCUGCUGCCCUAACCACUGGGCCAUUGCGCCUCCACAGCAAUAAUAAUAAUAAUCCUUUCUACUAUAGGCACAAGGCCUGAAAUUUUGUGGGAGGGGGCUAGUUGAUUACAUUGACCCCAGUAUUUCACUGGUACUUAUUUUAUCGAGCCCCAAAAGGAUGAAAGACAGUGGAAUUUGAACUAAGAAAAUAAAGACGGACAAAAUACUGCUAAUCAUUUCUAUAAUAGGCACAAGGCCUAUAAAGAGCUGGAGGAAGUGUUGCUAAGCAUUUUGUCUAAAAUGCUAAUGAUUCAGCCAGCUCAACUCUUUAAUGAUAAUAACGAUUCUUUCAAAUUUUGGCAAAAGGCCAGUAAUAUUAGCAGGAGUGUGUUUUUCAAUUACAUUGACCUCAAAAGGAUGAAAGGUAGAGCCUGACCUCAGUGAUAUUUGAACACUGCACAUAAAGAGCUGGUGGAAAACACUGCUAAGCAUUUUGUCCGACAUGCUAAUGAUUCUGCCAGCUCGCCACUACCAUAAUAAUAAUAAUAAUAAUAAUAAUAAUAAUAAUAGUAAUAAUAUUUACUGAGUGUAUAAUAACAAUAAUAAUUAUAUCAUAUAACAAUCUGACUUUCAUGAAAGGUUUCCUGGAAAUACAAUGUAAAGUAAAUACUUUAUUAAUAAGUGGUUGUAGCGUGUGAAUUUCUUUCAUUUGCUCUACAAGAGAGUGGGGCAGGGUUGGGAGCUGAAACUAAAUAAUUUUUCUUUUUAUGUUUUGGUCAUUGGACUGUGACCAUGCUGGGGCACUCUAUCUUGAAGGGGCUUAGUUGAACAAAUUGACCUCAGUACUUAUGUUUUUGGCUUGUUAUUUUUAAGUCUAGUAUGUCAUCAGUGUCCUUUGCUGAACUGCUAAAUUACAGGGACAUAAACAAACCAACAUCUGUUGCAAAAUGGAAGUGGAGGAGGCAGAGAGACAAACAAUUCACUGCAGCUCUUUACUCUGCAUCCUUCAACCAAAUUCACUCACAACUUAUUGGUCAGGCUGGGGCUAGAAAAGGACACUCGCUCAAGGCGCCACACCGUGGGAAUGAACCCAAGACUAUGUGAACUGAUUUCCUACACAACCAUGCCCGUGCCUAUAUAUUUAAAUCGACACUACUAUUUCUGCCCUUACAUCACCUAACAAUGGUUUCUGAUCUCAGCACAUGGUAAUUUUGAAGGGUGGGGCUAGUUGAUUCCAUUAACCCCCAGUACUUGAUAGAUACUUUAUUUCAUUGGCCCUUGAAGGAUGCAAGACAAAAUCAACCCUGACAGAAUCUGAAGACAGAAUGUAGUACAGCAAAGAAUUUCUUCCAAUGAUCUAACAAUUCUGCCAGUUCAUUACUUUCUAAUAAUUCUUGCUUCUAUAAGCAAAAAGUCCUGAAAUUUGGGGAGACAGGGAUAAGUUGAUUGCAUCAACCCCAGUGCUCAACUGGUGCUUAUUUUAUCAAUCCUACACCUAACCAAAAGGAUGAAAGCCAAAGUUGACUUGGGUGGAAUUUGAUCUCAGAACAUAGAGUCAACAGAAAUGCUGUAACAAUUGUCAAGCUCACAACCUAAUAAUGGUUUCAAAUUUUGGUGCAAGGUCAGCAAGUUGGUGAUGGUGGGGGGAAUAAGUUGAUUAUAUCAACCCCAGUGUUCAACUGGUACUCAUUUUAUUGACCCCCAAAAGGAUGAAAGGUAAAGUCCACCUCGACUGAAUCGAAUCUGAACUGAGAACGUGAAGACGGAUGGGUGAAAUAUGGCUAAGCAUUUUCCAACAUGGUGGAACUGAACCUGAAACCAUGGAAGGGGGUUGGGAAGCAAACUUCCUAACCACACAGCCAUGCCUGUGCCUACACACAGACACACACACAAACAGAUGUGUACAUACAUGUACAUUCAUCUGCACACUCAAAGGGAUUGUACUUCAUUCUUUUCAGUUUUUUUUUUCUUUUUUGAAAGAUCAGUUGAAAAGUGAGUAGGGGUUACUUGUACUUUUUUCAUGUCAUAUACAUACAUACAUAUAUAUAUAUAUAUAUACACACACACACGGAUACAUAUGUGUGUGUGUGUGUGUGUGUGUGUGUAUAUAUGUUCAAUGUUGAUGAGUCAGUCAUGAAUACAUAAUUCACACACACUCUAGAUAUAAUCGCUGAAAGAAAUCAAAGGAAUGUAUCUCGCCGGCUGUGUGUUGUCAGGAUUUUAACAGGUUUUUUUCAUCUUUGCUUUGUAUUUUUUUUUUUACAUAAGCAGUCUGCUCACUCUCACAGUAGUCAUUAGCAUAUCACAAAACGUUUUUUUUUUCCAGCUAAUUGACUUGUUACAAUGCCGCCUGCCUGCACUUGCUCUGAACAAAGGUGCAAUGGUUCAAUCCCUAUUACAUGACUCUUGGUCCCCCGAGUCCUAGCACUCAUAGAGCUGGUUUCCUGAUUUCCUUGGUGUAUAACUGACCGAGAUCACAACAUUUGCCCCCACCCCAACUAAAUGGGGCACCAGUCUGUUGCAGGGCUAUUCAUUUAUGGCUGAGUGGACUGGGGUAAUGUGAAUUUAAAGUGUUUUGCUCAAAAACACAAUGCACCACCUGGUCCAGGAGUCAAACCCAGGAACUUGCAAUCAUGAGUGCAACACAUUAAUUGCUAGGUCACAUGCCUUUACAUGACAUGCAUAAUAAUGCUUAAUUCUCUUUGACCUUAUACAUCGAGCAUGGAGAGGGGAGGCUGAUAUGCAUGUGUGACUGCUGAUCUUCCAUAAACUACCUUUCUCGGACUAGUGCCUCGGAGGGUAACUUUUUAGGUGCAAUCCCAUGAUCAUUCAUGACCAAAGGGGUCACCCAAAGGAGAUAUUUUAGAUACUGUAUUACAUACUGUUGUACUGAUGACUGAUUGACUCUGAAAGGAUGCAAGACAAAGUUGACCCUGAUAGAAUUUGAAGACAGAGUAUAAUAUAUAAGCAUGUCUUCCACUGACCUAACACUUCUGCUUGCUCUUUAAUUUCUAAUAAUUCUUUCUACUAUAGGCACAAGUCCUGAAUUUUGUGGGGAAUGAGGUAAGUUGAUCACACCAACCCUAGCACUCAACUCAUGCCUAUUUUAUCAAUCCUGCACCCCAUAGUGGGGCCCUGGUUUGGAUGAGGAGGAUGAAACCUCUUAGUUACUAUUGUUUCCAGGGCAACUCUGACACAGGUAAUAACACCUAUCAGGAUCCCAGCAAUGGGCUAAUUAGCAUGUCAUGGAAUUGCUUCCUAGAAAAAGGUCACUCACAGAUAACCCAAAGGACCCAGAGUAGAUGAGGCCCCUUAGCUGCUUAGAUUUAGCUCUUUAGCUACUGAUCAUCUAAGAGAAGGGAACUCCAUACAAUUUCUACAUCCUGAUAACUACUGGGUUCAUACCACUUGUUACACCAGACCAAUACAUGUUUGAAGAAGAGAGUAGGAAUGGCUCAGCACAAAUAAUACCCACUAUAAGAUUAUGCAUCUGGUAGGUUGUUCAGCAAACCAAGACACCACAAUGUUGAGUUGAAAUUCUCCCACCAGCCAAAACUCGUAAUAGAUCUCUGUUCCUAAAUCCAUGUGUAAUGUCACUUAACUAUUGAAUAUUGUGAAAGCUGGGACCAGUUCCAGUAAACAACUCUUACAAAGGGGUUGAUGAACACCUCUUAUUCUUCAAGAGCAGGGUUGUGUCUGAAUCCCUGAAGAUGAGCACCACCUAAAACAGUUUUAGUUGAACAAAUCAACCGUCUAGUGGUUAGGCUGUUGCACUCACAAUUGCUGACAGGGUGGCACAUUGUGUUUUGAACAAAACACUUUAUUUCACAUUGCUUCAGUCCCCCUUUGAUUGGGGGUGGGGGAAUGUUGGCCUGCUUACCUAACCAAUGGGGUGGUGUCAUUUGAAGGCUAAAACAAUGCAAAAGCACAUUGUGACCAGCGAUGUGUAACAAUAUCUGAUAGCCUGGUUGGUCACAUAAUAUAUACAUGAACCUUGUACUUAUUCUAUAAGUCUCUUUUGCCUAACUGCUAAGUUACGGGAAGAUAACUGAACCAACACCUGUUGUCAAGUGGUGGGUGUGACAGACAGACAGAAAGGCUUACACACACAUACAAACCGGGCUUCUUUCUGUUUCUGUCAACCAAAUCUUCUCACAACGCUUUGGUCAGCCUGGGGCUAUAGAAGACACUUGGCCAAGAUGCCACAUAGUGGGACUGAACCCAAAAUGAAGUUGUUUGGAAGCAAACUUCUUAACCACAUAGCUAUGUCUGCAUCUACCUUCAUCAAAAUUAUAUUUUUUCCAUUUCUUUUUCUCUCUCUCUCUCUCUCUCUCUAUUUUCAUUGUGACACCAAUGUUCUGGAAGAUAGUCAAAGCUGAAAAACAUCAAUUUUUCUUUGUAUGGCUAAUUCCAAAGAACCAGUAUUUGUUACAGCUGUAAAUCAUGCUGUCUUCAUUUUUAAAUCACUUCAUACAAUAACCAAUUAUUGUAAACUAGAGUUUUGUAAUGUAAUAUCUUUGAUAGUCAAAUAAAAUCUCACUCUCUCUCUCUAUAUAUAUCAUCAUUUAGCAUGUUUACCAUGCUGGCAUGGGUUAGACAGUUUAACUGGAACUGGUAAGCUGUUCCAGACUCCAGUCUGAUUUCGGAUUGGUUUCUACAGCUGGAUGCCCUUCAUAUAUAUGUGUGUGUGUGUGUGUGUGUGAAGGUAUGUGGCCCAGUGGUUAGGCUGUUGCACUUACAAUUGCUAGAUUGUGGGGUCAAUUCCCUGAUUGGGUGAUGCGUUGUAUUCUUGGGCAAAACACUUCAUUUCACGUUGCUCCAGUCCCCCUUUUAAUCAGGUGAGAUUUUCCCCCUAGCCAGUGGGGUGGUGUCAUUUGAACGCUAAAACAAUGCAAAACACAUUGUGACCAGCAAUGUGUAACAACAUCUGAGAGCCUGGUGCGAUUCCUAAUUGCUCCUUAUUAAUUCAGUACUGGAAUUUUAAUGUUUUACACUGUUUCUUUAACAAGCUUUUUAUUCCCUUCUCUGCAUACAGGUCAUUAUUUAAAAAUAAGAAAAAAAAAAAUGUUAUUAAAAAGAGAAAUGUUUAGCACCCCCAUAGCCACCCACCUCAAUGUGAUUAGGCUAAAGGUGUUUUAGUCUUAACCAUCUUGUUUUUUCUUUUUCUUUUUCAGGCGAAGCAGACAGCUGAGAACAUUGAUAUUAGUAUGAUCAAGUUAGAUCUUGAAUGAAUAUCUGGUCUUUGAGUGUAUGGGGCCUGCAGGCUGCUAGAGCUGCAAUUUGAACUGAAAACAGUUAUACAGUGUUCUUAAUCCUGUGUCUAUUACUGAAAAUUGUGUAUUUGCCAGGAGGACAACAGUACAGUACCAAUGUGAUGUGAAUCAUAAACCUUUUGUUCAACAGAUCCAGUACCCUAAUGAUCUGUAAAGCCCUAAUUUCUUAUGUUAUGAGGUUGGUGAGAUAAACCUUCCAUUUGGAGAGGAUGCAAGUUUAAGAUCUCUUAUAACAGCUGGAGCAAUAUUGAGUAAAGUACUCCUUCAUGCCACCCUGAAGAGAAUUUGAACUUGUAACCUAUUCACUUGCAACAUCUCACCUCUAACCCUAAUGACUCGGCAAGAUAGAAGACUACGACAGUUACAUUAUCUUUGAUCUUCCACUCAAUAGAAAUAAUCCAAGAUUCAACGACGUGAUUUCACCAGCUGCGAGUCUCUUCAAAGAAAAUAGAUUCUUCAAAUAAAUAUAUAAAUUUAUA